CGAUAUUAUUAUAAUGUUUGUUGUUUCGUUUGACCGCACUGCGUCCACCGUUUUGUUGAAUAAAAACUAAUAAUAAUACGCUUUUAACCGUUUGUACGAAAAUUAUAAUGUGUUAAAUGUAUAAAAACUAUAGGAAAAAAAUAAAAAUAAAACAAAAGCCAAAAAAAAAAAAAAAAACAACUUAACAUUAAGACUUACCUACCUGUUUGUUUAUUUUAUUAUUAUGAUUUUUUUUUUUUUUUGCGAAUGAAAUUUAGACUAAACGUUUUUUUGCUCAAUGUGUGAAGCCAAACGGAUUGGUUUAUUAUUAUUAUUAUUAUUAUUAUUAUUAUUAUUAUUAUUAUUAUUAUCAUUAUUAUAUUAAUUAUUAUUAUUAUCAUUAUUAUUAUUAUUAUUAUUUUUAUUACUUUUUAAUAUUAUUGUGACUCGGGUUCACGACAGAAAAAAAAGGAAAAAAACCAAAAUAAAUAAACUGUAAUAUUACACACACACGAGUAGGUAGGUAAAAGAUAAAAUAAAAUUAACAAAAAAAAAAAAAAAAAACGACGUAACUUUACGGGCCUUGACAUUAUUCCUAUAGUUACCGCUCACUAGGUGACCCAGAUGGAAUUCAGACGAUUAAAAAACACACUGUAUAGAUUAUUGUCAUUAUAUUAUAUACCUAUAUAUAUAAAAAAAAAAUGUGUAUAUAAAAUAUUUUUGUUAAAACAUUUAUAUAUAUUUAAGAAAAAAAAAAAAAAAAAUUAUACCUAUUAACCGUGGUUUUUAA
Cinara cedri is the source of this 769-nucleotide non-coding RNA. NCBI's taxonomy places the organism in Eukaryota, Metazoa, Arthropoda, Insecta, Hemiptera, Aphididae. The record is from the annotation of a GenBank genome assembly.